CAGUCGCCGCGGGAAUACAGAGGGUGCGAGCGUUAAUCGGAUUUACUGGGCGUAAAGCGUGCGUAGGCGGCUUCUUAAGUCGGAUGUGAAAUCCCUGAGCUUAACUUAGGAAUUGCAUUCGAUACUGGGAAGCUAGAGUAUGGGAGAGGAUGGUAGAAUUCCAGGUGUAGCGGUGAAAUGCGUAGAGAUCUGGAGGAAUACCGGUGGCGAAGGCGGCCAUCUGGCCUAAUACUGACGCUGAGGUACGAAAGCAUGGGGAGCAAACAGGAUUAGAGACCCGCGUAGUCCCUGUCUCUUAUAC
Molecule: ribosomal RNA, 301 nt
Filed under: uncultured bacterium
Lineage: Bacteria
Description: partial 16S ribosomal RNA
Rfam family: Bacterial small subunit ribosomal RNA
Source: RNAcentral